Molecule: ribosomal RNA, 253 nt
Filed under: uncultured bacterium
Lineage: Bacteria
Description: partial 16S ribosomal RNA
Rfam family: Bacterial small subunit ribosomal RNA
Source: RNAcentral
UACGGAGGGAGCUAGCGUUGUUCGGAAUUACUGGGCGUAAAGCGCGCGUAGGCGGCUUAGCAAGUUGGGGGUGAAAGCCCAGGGCUCAACCCUGGAACUGCCCUCAAAACUGCUAAGCUAGAAUCCUGGAGAGGUGAGUAGAAUUCCUAGUGUAGAGGUGAAAUUCGUAGAUAUUAGGAAGAAUACCAGUGGCGAAGGCGGCUCACUGGACAGGUAUUGACGCUGAGGUGCGAAAGCGUGGGGAGCGAACAGG